This is a long non-coding RNA of Bactrocera neohumeralis, 870 nucleotides long. RefSeq lists it as uncharacterized. The record is from RefSeq and is a predicted model, not a curated record. Lineage: Eukaryota; Metazoa; Arthropoda; Insecta; Diptera; Tephritidae. The transcript has 3 exons.
UGCUAUGAGAAAAAACACAAAUAAGAAACAGCGGAUUCACUGUAAAAUAAAAACAAAAUAGUUCUUGUUUUAAAGAUGUAAUUGUUGUGUUUCAAAUUAUAGUUAUAUUAGUUUAUAGCGGUGGAUAAAUAUUAUUAACAUACAAAGAAGAGUCUAAAUUUUAAUGAAUAAAAUAUGUUCUCAGACGUUAAUUAUUAUUCAAAUGUUGCUAAAAUCCUUACACCUCAGCAAUCAUUUCAGAUUAAAAACGCCAACAAAGCUUUUGAAAUUUAUUUACCUAUGUAAUCUUCCUAGGGAAAGUGUCAACUUGAUAGCCUGCGCUCCUUCACCCCGUAAAUGAUUGGGACGGACUAAAAAGUACAGAACAGCAGCAAAAUCCUCAAGUCGUUAGCCGGCAGCUCAGGUGGAAAAGCAUUGUUGGCAAUAUGCAAGGUAAUCGGGUGGCCGGUCAUCAACUAUUUAGCACUGUAGUUCGUAAACAUAGUGUUGCAGUUAUCAGCUUGAAGCCGCCUCCCAGGAGCAUUAAGAGGUCAUCUCUUGAUGUUCUCAACCAGACUACUAGAAGGCAACUAACUUCAGUCCACGCAUUGACCGGCAUGGCUCCACAGUGAAGCCAUUUAUACCUUCAUCGACUUCCUCCCACUGAAUAGCGUUCUUAGAGUUACAUCUGAAAAUAUCAAUUCGUGUCAAAGCUGUGCAUCAUCAAUUUAAUAUAAUUCACUUAAAUGUGUGUCCCAAUUGGCAAUAACAAUUUAACCUGCUGAAACACUGGAGGAGGUGUCGUUAGUGAGGCCACCGAGCUUGUUGAAAUUCAAGUCGAGUGCGUGCAAACUAAAGAGCCUUCUCAUAAACCCAUCCUAACGCGGAUUG